CUGGCGUUAUUCUGAUUGAUUCUGGAAGCUCAAGAUAUCCACCCAGUGGCCAUGCUGACUGGAUAAGUGAAUGUUGUAGUCCAACCCCAUCCCCAAACUCAUAUGAGCCGUGAUGGCGCAAUUGGUUAAACCUUUGUAUCAAUUGUUCUGCUGACCUGAAGGUUGCCGACCCGAAUCUGCCAGAUGAGAUGCCUUUAAAUGUGGAUGUAAUGAGGCUGUUGAUUAGUGCCAAGGGACCUAUGGAAGGAUCACAGCUAUUAACUGGAGCGGAAACUUUGAACAGCGGUAGAAACCGGACUGGUAUGGAGUGGCCUUAGAACCACAAGAGCUGAUGAAGUUUUUCUGGAAAGAUGUGGAUAGUGGACUCUAUGGAUGCAGAAUCUAUCGAUAUGGAAAGCUGGUUUGUAAAUUGCUAAAGCACUGCCAGAUGAUGAACAUCCAGCUUCUGAAGACUUCGAAAGGAGAAUCCACUCCCACCCUGAUACGGUCUGUCGCACUGUUUAAUGGCUUUACAGUCAGCAAAUUCUUCCUAUUAUUUUAAAAUUUAGAGGAAUCCCUUUUAUUGCUUAAUCCAUUGUUCCGUGUCCUAGUCUCUAGAGCAGCAGAAAACAAGUGUGAACCAUCUUCUGCAUAAAAUCCCUCCAGGUAUUUAAACAUGACUAUCUUGUUACCUCUUAACAUUCUCUUCUCCCAGCUCUCGAAGCUCCUUCUCAUAGGACAUGGUUUCCAGACUAUUUACCAUUUUGGCUGCCCUCCUCGGAACCCAUUCCAGCCUGCAAUAAAUUAAUUUUUUGCCAGAGAUUGACCACAGAGUUGCACUGGAAGACCUAGACUGCCAAAUAAUUCAGUUUGAUAGAGAGAACAUAUGAAUCAAAUCCAUGAAUAAUCAAAUCCACAAAAGUGAAAUCUGCAGAUGUGGGAGUCAAUUGUACUUCAAAUAUGCUAUUUCCAAAAGCCACGUUUUACUAAAUGUACAUCUUGGUUGUAUAGUGUCAACAUAUGCAGAGAAAUUGAUAAUGAAUCCUUGUAUUUGAAAUUUAGAGAAGGGUGUUUAGAAGUCCCUGCCAUAGAGCUCUAGAAUCUCACCAGCCUGCAAACCCCAGGAUUAUGCAGGAUGCAACUAUGAUGGUUAAGCUGGAAUUAUAGCGCUAUAAGUAUAUAAUGUGAAAGGGCUCUUUAGUGCAAUACUCUUUUCACAGCAGUGACCAAGUAGGGUAGGUCACUCUGCAAGUAAGGAGCUAACCUAUUUUGCUAAUCAGUGUUUGGGUUUAUUUGGCCUGUAGGUCAUGUUUUCCUUCCCUGUCUACCUCACCUUGCUGCAAGUUUCCUAUAUUUGCAAUUAAAUUCUCUCUCUUUUUUUGUCUCAACCAUUUUUGCAAGGAGACAGGGAUAAGUACAACCACCUAUUGUGAAAGAAAUAUAUAUAUCUGAGGGUGGCAAGAAAGGGGAGCCCCUGCCAUAUCUUGUUAGCAAAGCUGGCUUUUAUUAGGAGAGGCAGGUUGUGAAUGAGCCCUGUGUUCCCCGGGUCUGGAAUCUGGAGGAUGAACAAAGUUUAUAUAUUCUGUGAUGAAAUCAUAGCUAGCAAGAGCCCAUGAGCAGAACAGUUCAAAGGCUUGGCUUCAAGGAGGCCAGCCAACAUAUGGAAAAGCUUUGCAGAUGGAGGGAAGUGAUUGCCGAAAAGGGACAAAUGGUUCUUUCACUGAGAGAGCCUUGACUUUGAAAUUAGAAAUGCACAGCUCAGAGACAGUACCCUUCAACUCAAUGUAAAACGGUGCCAAAGGUCUGGCUAGUAGGCUUGCUCAAAUAAUUCGAUUUCCCCGUUACCCGUUAUUAAUUCGUUACUUUCGUUUGUUUUGAAGCAAUAUACGGCCUUGAUUGUCCACACGUCUGGAUAUCGCGGUUUCGAACCGCGAGAGGCCGUUUUUUGUUAUGUCGUCGUUUUUUUCGUUAGGAAAAAAAGCUUUUGCAAAUCACCCAAACUCCCACCAUUCCUAACAGCCUCAGGCCCUUUCCUUUUGCCCCUCAGCAAAAGGGGCGUCACGGGCUCAGCCAAUGGGAGGGGGCGAGGGGGAAGGAGGCCGAGGAGGAGGAGGAAGACGGAGGGGGGAAAUGGCCGCCGCCGCCGCCUCGCUUCAGCUCAGGCCUGGUGUCUCUCUGUGAGGCGGGAAGGCGGCGGAUGGAGCCGGGAAUGGAGAGACCGAGAGAGACAGAGACACGCAGAGAUGGAGGCUGGCGCGGGGCCCGGCGGUGAGGAGGAAGAGGCCCGGGAUGCGAGGGGGUGUGGGCCAGGCCCGUCCUCGGCUGCUCCCGGGGAGGGAGGGAGGGAGGACUACGACUCCCAGGGGCCCAGAUUCGCACCCUCCCUCCCCCCAAUACAGGUCUCCAUACGACGCUACAUGAACUUGAAUGGAUACUGUGGUUGUGUUGUCGAAAGCUUUCAUGGCCGGGAUCACACUGUUGUGGUAUGUAUGUGGCCAUGUGCCAGAAGCAUUCUCUCCUGACGUUUCACCCACAUCUGUGGCAGACAUACUCAGAGGUUUUGACGUCUGUGCGAAGCUAGGCAAGUGGGGUUUAUAUCUGUGGAAGGUCCAGGGUGGGAGAAAGAACUCUUGUCUGUGGGAGGCAAGUGUGAAUGUUGCAAUUGGUCACCUUGAUUAGCAUUGAAUAGCCUUGCAGCUUCAAAGCCUGGCUGCUUCCUACCUGGGGGAAUCCUUUGUUGGGAGGUAUUAGCUGGCCCUGAUUGUUUCCUGUCUGGAAUUCCCAUUUUCUGGGUGUUGUUCUUUUACUGUCCUGAUUUUAGCUUUUCUGUAGCUAAAAUGCAUAUAAAAUUGAUUCUAUAGGGAGGAUAAAUGAUUGGAUUUCAACUCCUACAGCUUAGCUUUCUCUGCCAAUAAUGGUACCAUACCAAACCAAAGAUUCUGUAGCAGUGAGCCAUCUUGGAUAUUGUAAGGGAUUUAUUAUUAUUAUUAUUAUUAUUAUUAUUAUUAUUAUUAUUAUUAGACCUUGCUCCCAGGAAGGUGCCUUCGCUGUGGCUCCCAACUUAUCUAUCUCUACCUUUCCACAUAUUCUCCACAUUGUGUGUAUGUGUAUGUAUAUUAUAUAUACAUGAGCCCCGAUGGCGAAGUGUGUUAAAGCACUGAGCUGCUGAACUUGCAGACCGAAAGGUCCCAGGUUCAAAUCCCGGGAGCAGAGUGAGUGCCCGCUGUUAGCUCCAGCUUCUGCCAACCUAGCAGCUUGAAAACAUGCCAAUGUGAGUAGAUCAAUAGGUACCGCUCUGGCGGGAAUGUAAUGGCACUCCAUGUAGUCAUGCCGGCCACAUGACCUUGGAGGUGUCUAUGGACAACACUGGCUCUUGGGCUUAGAAAUGGAGAUGAGCACCAACCCCCAGAGUCAGACAUGACUGAACUUAACGUCAAGGGAUACCUUUACCUUUACCUAUAUAUACACACACACACACAUGCAGGGACUAUAUAUAUAUAUAUAUAUAUAUAUAUAUAUAUAUAUAUAUAUACACACACACAGUAUAUAUCACACACACACCAAUUUAACAAAGUUUCAGCCACAAAAACAAAGUUUCUGAAGUAGAACAAUGACUUUCACAGUAAAGACAACCCAAUUUAACAGGAAAUAAGACUUUCAAACCAGGAACAGAUUUCUGCAAUUAUUAAAAAAUGGUUUAUUAUAAAAGCUAUGAAAAUUCGCCAAAAAUCAGAGGAUAAGGGAAACGUUCCAAAUUUUGGUGAGCUAUCAGUGUUAAAUGUGUUCUACCACUGUACCAAGUUUGAAGAAGAUCACUCAAAAAAUGAGGGUGGGAGAAUCCUGUAAAAUCUCCCCUCGUGCUGUUUUUUUUGGCCACUGCGCAUGCGCGUCCGCCAUUAACGAAUUAAUUUCGAAAAUAACGAAUUUUCGUUAAUUUCAAAUUUUUUGGGGGGCAAAAUUCGGAAAUGACAUCAGAAACGAAACGCUGGCGCCCCCAGCUUUUGAAACGAGUUUAGAAUCAAUUUUUUCAUGGAUCGCUCAAGCCUACUGGCUAGCUUUGCCCUCCAUACAUGCAUAUUAUCUACAUCUAAAUUAUCUGGUUUAACCCGUUUUCAGGUGAAAACUUUCACAGAAUCAUAGAGCUGGAAGAGACCACAAGGACCAUCCAGUCCAACCCACUGCCGUGCAGGAAUACACAAUCAAAACACUCCAGGCAGAUGGUUAUCCAGCAUCCAAAGAAGGACAUUCCACCAACUCCAAGAAAGUGAAUUCCACUGUCAAGCAGUUCUUACUGUCAAUAGGCUCUUCCUAAUGUUUAGAUGGAAUUUCUUAUUAUUCGGUUUGAAUUCAUUGCUCCAUGUACUAAUCCCUGGAGCAGCAGAAAACAAACUGGCUUCGUCUUCAACAUGACAUCAUUUCAAAUAUUUAAACAUGGAUAUCAUUUCACCUUAAAUAUUUAAACAUGGGGCCGGGCUGUGGCGCAGGCUGUUGAGCAACUGCAAUAAAUCACUCUGACCAUGAGGUCAUGAGUUCGAGGCCAGCCCGUGGUGGGGUGAGCACCCGUCAAUUAAAAAUAAAAAAUAGCCCCUGCUCGUUGUUGACCUAGCAACCCAAAAGAUAGUUGCAUCUAUCAAGUAGGAAAUAAGGUACCACUUAUAAAAGUGGGGAGGCAAGUUUAACUAAUUUACGACUUGGAAUGAGGAAGUGCCAUCAGAGUGGAUGAUGAAGCAGCUGCUCCCCCCUGUGGCCAGAAUUGAACAUCCCCUCAGGAGAAGGUUAAAUUGCCUCUGUCUCGGUCUCUGUUUGAUGUGUUUAUGGGCAUUGAAUGUUUGCCCUAUAUGUGUAUAAUGUGAUCCGCCCUGAGUCCCCUUCAGGGUGAGAAGGGCGGAAUAUAAAUACUGUAAAUAAAUAAAUAAAUAAAUAAAAUAUCAUUUCUCCAGCAUAAACAUACCAAAAUCCCUAAGCCACUUGUCAUAUAACAUAGUUUCCUGACAUUAGAUUAAAAAAAACUCUCAUUGGGACAUGUUCAAGAUUGUCCAUACACUUCUUGAAUUGCAAUGCCUAGAACUGGACACUGCAAUAUUCCAGGUGAAGUCAGACCAAAGCAGAAUAGAGUCAUACCAUAACUUUACCCACUGAAAUACUAUAUUCCUAUUGAUGCAUCAUAGAAUCAGAUUGGCUUUUUAGCUGCUGCAUCUCAUUGUUGACUCUUAUUCAGCUUGUUGUCUACUAGGUAUCUCUUCACAUGGCCCUUUUGGACUGUGCCAUUUCGUGGAGCCCCGCACAGCCUCCAUCCUUCUCCCAUCAUACUGUUGGCACCCUGUUUUCGUCCCCAUCUGAUGGGAUAAAGGGUGGCAACGUGUGUUGCCCCACUACCCUUUCCCUGAUCAUAGGGGAAAAGGGGAGUGAAGUGUGAGUAGCUCUGUUGGAGCUACUCAAAACACACUUUCCUCCCCACGGUAGUGGAGGAAAUGCCUUCCGGCACUUCCCUUCCACUUUGGGAGGAAUGUGGGCAGGGUCUGCCAUUCAUCAUCUGAUGGCACUCGGCAGGCCCUGACCAAGCUGCAAAUAAAAGCGGCAAAACGGGGCUAUUUUUCCCUGUGUGAAGAGGUGCUAAGAUUCCUGGAUUCUUUUCACUGGUAUUGUUGUCAAGCCAGGUGUCACCCAUCCUAUAUCUGUGCUUUUCUUUCCUGCCUAAGUAUAGUUCCUUACAUUACUUCUUGUUGAAGUUCAUUUUUUGUAAGUUUUGGCCCAGCUCAGUAAACUUCCUAAAUCAGACGUUGACCAGUGAAUCAACACAUAAGUAAAUUUCAUUGGUGUCAGGCUUAGCACCGCAGGGUAAACCACUAAGCUGCAGAAAAUCCUGCUGAUCAAAAGGUUGGAAAUUCAAGCUCAGGUCAGGGUGAGCACCCACCAUCAGCCCCAGCUCCCUGCCCACCUAGCAGAUCGAAAACAGAAAUGAGAGUAGAUAAAUGGGUACCGGGGAAGUAAUAAAAGGGGCCCAUAAGGACAUUCCCGCAAUUCGAUCAGAAGGACGUCUAUGAAUGGCAAAGCUCCUCGGCAUGGAAGAUGGAGUGACAGCAUCCUCCAUGGCUGGAGUCGAGCACAGCCUCCAGGUGCCGGAAGAGGAAAAGAUAGGGAAAGCCUUUACCUCUGUUUAUUUAUUGUCUGUCCUUGUUAAUUGUAUAACAACAUUGAAUGUUUGCUGUAUAUAUGUUCUGUAAUCCAUCCUGAUUCCCCUAUGUGAGAGAGUGGAAUAUAAAGAAGGUAUAUUAUUGUUGUUGUUGUUGUUGUUGUUGUUGUUGUUGUUAUUAUUAUUAUUAUUAUUAUUAUUAUUAUUAUUAUUAUUAUUAUUAUAUGUUCUAGUUGGCAAUAAAAUUCCUGUUACAACCUAUUGUUCCAA
Long non-coding RNA from Anolis carolinensis (green anole), 6382 nucleotides. RefSeq lists it as uncharacterized. The record is from RefSeq and is a predicted model, not a curated record. The transcript has 3 exons. NCBI's taxonomy places the organism in Eukaryota, Metazoa, Chordata, Lepidosauria, Squamata, Anolidae.